This 1443-nucleotide long non-coding RNA is filed under the name Pan troglodytes (chimpanzee). Its description in RNAcentral is "long non-coding RNA NONPTRT017978". The record is from RNAcentral. Lineage: Eukaryota; Metazoa; Chordata; Mammalia; Primates; Hominidae.
UGCCAGGGGAGCUCGGAAAUGCCUGUCGCGGAGCCUCGGUCCAUCCGCCCCUCCCAACCGGUCCGGCACAUCCAGGCGCACACACAUCUGUCCACAAACACACCCUCCCUCACACACACACAACUCACACACACACCAAUUCACACAUACACAACUCACGCACCAACUCACAUAUGCGCUCACACAUACACAACUCACACACCAACUCACAUAUGUGCCAACUCACAUGCCAACUCACACACGGACUCACACACAUACCAACUCACAUGCACACCAACUCACAUAUACACAACUCACACACCAACUCACACAUACAUAAUUCACACCAACUCACAUGCCAACUCACACAACUCAACUCACAUGUACACCAAUACACACACAUACACAAGUCACUUACACACCAACUCACUAACACACCAACUCAUACACAUCAACUCACACAUACACAACUCACACACCAACUCACACAUACACAACUCACACACCAACUAAUACACACCAACUCACACAUAUACAACUCACAUCAACUCGCAUACACACCAACUCACACAUCGACUCACAUACACACCAACUCACACGCAUACCAACUCACACAUACACAAGUCACUCACACCAACACACACCAACUCACACAUACACAACUCACACUAACACACACCAACUCAUACACAACACAACACACACACCAACUCACACAUACAACUCACACUAACACACACCAACUCGCAUGCACACCAACACACACAACUCAACUACACACCAACUCACACACCCUUACACAUACACAACUCACACACCAACUCACACCCUCACCCCAACACAACCUCACACAUAUACAACACACACACCAACUCACACCCACACACUUUCACACACACCCUCACACACCCUCACACACACCAACUCCCAUGCACACAUCCUCCCUCAUACACAACUCACAGACCCAUGCACACACCCUCGCCCCCACCCAACACAACCUCACACAUACACAACUCACACACCAACUCACAUGCACACACCCACACACCAACUCACACGCACACACCCUCACUCCCAAUGCAACCUCACAACUCACACCAACUCACACACCCUCACACCAACUCACACGCCCACACCCUCACCCCAACACAACCUCACACAUACACAACUCACACACACUAAUGCACAUAUACACAUCCUCACACACAUUUACAUACACCCCUGCUCACAGACACUCUCUCUGGCUCUCUCUCACACACACACACACCCUACCCCCCACUAGGGCUCAAGGACCCCUCCAGUGUCCUCAGGGCACUGGCCCAGGGAGCAGCAAGGAGGGUGAUUCCCAAAUAGCAGCCCCCAGAGCCCCGGUUCUGCCCCCAGAGAAGCUCAAGUCCAGACACCAGAAGGACCUCCCUUCAUCCUGAAGACAUUUACAUGAGGAGAGCCACUUCCCCGAGUGAC